UUAAUUAAUGUAAAAUAAUUGAUAAAUAUUAAUAUUGCAACUAUAUAUUAUUAUAACGUAUAUUUGUUAAUUAUAAUAUAGCAAAAUGGCACCAGUGCCUUUAGAGGGUCAUCAAACACCUGUAACUAAUAAUAUUCCACAGGAAGGAAAUCGUGGUGGUUCUAUUUCUCUUGGCAUGCUUAUUGAUUUCAUUAUACAACGUACUUAUCAUGAACUUACAGUUUUAGCUGAAUUAUUACCUCGAAAAACUGACAUGGAACGCAAAAUAGAAAUUUACAACUUUUCAGCUAGAACUAGACAAUUAUAUGUACGUUUAUUAGCAUUGGUUAAGUGGGCUAAUAGUGCUUCCAAAGUUGAUAAAUCUGCGCAUAUAAUGGCAUUCUUAGACAAGCAAUCACUUCUUUUCGUUGAUACAGCUGAUAUGCUUGCAAGAAUGGCCCGUGAGACAUUAGUACAUGCAAGAUUACCUAAUUUUCAUAUUCCUGCUGCAGUGGAAGUUCUUACAACUGGAACAUAUAGUCGCUUACCAGCAUGCAUAAGAGAAAGAAUUGUUCCUCCAGAUCCAAUUACACCAGCAGAAAAAAGAAGUACACUUCAGAGAUUGAAUCAAGUUAUUCAACAUAGAUUAGUUACUGGAAAUCUGCUUCCACAAAUGCGUAAUUUAAAAAUUGAAGCAGGAAGAGUAACAUUUCUUGUAGAGCAAGAAUUUUCAGUGUCACUUACAGUAAUGGGAGAUGGUCCAACAGUACCUUGGAGAUUAUUAGAAUUGGAGAUCUUAGUUUCAGAUAGAGAAACAGGAGAUGGAAAAGCUUUGGUGCAUCCAUUGCAAACUCGUUAUGUGCAUCAAGUGGUGCAAUCGAGAUUAGCAGAAAGUUCAAAUCCAUUAUCAGAAGUUUAUCAUAUUUUGCAUUAUUUUUGUCAAUCAUUACAAUUAGAAGUACUCUAUUCUCAAACAUUACGGUUAAUACGAGAUAGAUUGGAUGAUCACAUUCAUGUGGAUGAAUAUACACCAGGAAAAUGUCUUUCAGUGUCAUAUUGGAGAGAAUUGACUAAUAAAGAUCCUCGAUCAGAAUUGGGCUAUAAAUUAACAGUACAGGUGGACCAACAUGACCCUGCAAGACCUCUUGCAAUAGUACAUAUUCCAUCUUUAGGUAGUAAAGAAAGUGAAAUAGCAGACAGAGCAAUUAGAUCAGACCAAUUAUCAAUGGAAUGUUUAUUAGUACAUACAAUAUAUGUGCGUACUAGAAGUAGAUUAUUAGAUUUAAAGCAAGAAUUGCAAACGAUGUUGAAAGAUGUUGAAUGUACUCUAGCCGGUUCACCUGCAAUUCUCUCUGUUCCAAUUUUGCAACCUUGCUUAAGAGCAGAACACUUAUUAGUUACUGUUGAUACACAUACUGGAAUGUUACAAUGUCAUGUACCUCAAUAUGAAGUUCCGUUGAUUCCUGAACUAACUGCUGCUUUAAAUGGCGAUCAUUCUCGCCUUCCGACUUUAAUAUCAGAACUUAGAUUUUGGAUAACACAAAGACGGUGUGAAAAAACAUUACAACAUCUUCCAGCAACUUCUCAUGAACGUUUACCAGUUCUUCUUCAUCCUGAUCAUCCAAUGUCAAAAAUUAGUAGACAUCGGAUGUUUAUCCAACUCCAUCGACAUCCUACAGUUAUUUUAAUAGUGGCGUUUAAAGAGAAAGAAACUUCACCAUGUGAAAUUGAAUGUUCAUUUUAUCUUGCUGUAGUAAAACAUAGCUCUAUAGAGGAUGAUCCCCAUGAUGAUAGUAUUGAAACAGAAAUUCCAAAAAUGUAUUUAAAAGUUCAAAGUUUAAUUGAAUUUGAUACUUUUGUCAUAACUCAUGGACCUUUUACCAGUGUUGACAAUGAAACUCUUGAAACAAACAGUUUGAAACGAAGAAGUACAGGACCUAGUGGAAGAUCUGAUAGUAGUACUACAUUGCAAAAUAGAAGGUCCAAACAACCUGCAUAUUUUAUUCCUGAAUUAGCACACGUGGUUGCACUUUGCGAUGAAAGAAUACCUUUUGUAACAUUAGCACAAGAAUUGACUAGAAGAGAUAUAGCUCAUCAAGGGCUUCAAGUAGAGGCAAAUGCUACUGCAUUAGUUUUAAAAUUAGUUCAAUUACCUGCUCCUUCUACAGGAAUAAAUACUAGUUGUGCUUGGUAUGCUCUUCUUAAAAGACUACUCAGUGUUUCAAUUAGAGUUCAAGGUAAAGGUAUGGCUAAAACAUGGAUGGCUGAAUUUGUAUUUUAUGGUAGCCCCUUAUCUAGUAGUCAUCCAAAAGAACAAGGAUUGAGAAGACCAGUAUAUUUCCAAUAUGAAAUGGGAACAGCAGAUACUAUUUCGCGUACAGUAGAUGCAAUACUUAAUGAUUGGGCUCAAAUUGUACAUCUUUAUUUUAUUGUACAUGAUUUAGCAGAAUAUUUUAAAAUGGAAAAAUAUAAUCUGCGCAAUAUGGUUAAUAUAAAAUUAUAUAACUAUAGUAAGUUAGUUUUAACUUAUGGUCCUAAUCGUGGAGCUACUGUUACUGUGCAAUGGAGUACCAAUGACAAAGCAUUUAAAUUGAUUUUUGGAAAAAGUCCAACUAGUACUAUUACUAAUGCUCAUUCAAUUAUGAAGGAACAAUUGGAAGCUCAUUUAAAUAGACACAGAAAUUUAGCUCAACUUAUACAUAUUCUUCAUGAAACACUUCAACCUCUUACAUCAAUUAGUAAAUUGCCUAUAAUUCCACAACUUUGUGUUUAUAAUUCGAGACCUCAAGUGCCAGUACAAACUUUCACUAUUAUGCCACAAUGUGUAACUCUAGUCAGAAUUGCAUAUCAGGGUAUGUAUUGUUUAGAACUUCGUCUACGAGGAAGUGGUUUAGUAAGCUUACGGGAUGGAGCUUAUAGCCGUUUUGAUAGAAGUUACGUUGUAGAUGAAUUUACUCCUACACAAGGUCUUAAGGCUUUUUUAUCUAAAUAUGUGGAUGAAAGUGCAGUUUCUCGUAGAAGAUCUCAGUCAGAGGAUGAUAAUCCUCCUUCUCCUGUGACAAUGGAUAGCGAUGGAGGUAGUGGAAGUGGAAAUGUAGGUUUUUUAAGUCAUCAUAGAAGUGGACCUCAGUCACCUGCACAACAGAGAGAUGGAUUAAGGUUUCAUCCACCUCUGACUCCACCUUCUGGUAGUAAUCCUCAUACUCCAGCUAGUCCACAUACUGCUAAUAUAUCACAGACAAAUCAACAUCAAAGUUUUGGAAGUAGUCCAGCUACUUCUUUCAAUUUGGCUUCACCACCAUCAUUACCACCAAAUACACCAAAUAUGUUACCACAUCCUUCACCAGGCUCUGGUUUAGUUGCUAAUAGUCCUUUAAAUCCAAUGCAUGUUCCUAGUCCAGCUGGAUUAAUGCCAACAUCUUCACCAGGACCAUGUAGUAAUGUUCAAGUGGGACAUUCUCCUGCAGGAUUUAUGCAAACUGGGCACAUAGAUGGAAGUCCAUUUCCAUCUUCACAAAGUAUGGCUUCUCCAGCAGCCUCUAAUUGGCCAGGAUCACCUAGUGUGCCUAGACCAUCUCCAGCACGUCCUACACAAAGUCCGGGACAUGCAUUGCAUAGUCCUCAAGCCUCUGAUCAUAAAACAGGGACUCAUAUUUCAAGAGUACUUCCACAACGUUCUUGGGCAGGUGCUGUACCUACACUUUUAACUCACGAAGCUUUAGAAUUGCUCUGUUGUCCUUCUCCACACCCUUCUGGAUUUCCUGGGCCUGAUCUUUCACCACUUGAAAGAUUUUUAGGAUGCAUUUAUAUGCGCAGACAAUUCCAACGAUUCAUACAAACUGAUGAAUGUUUAACAGCAGUAAAUAGUACAGAACCAGGAGUUGUACACUUUAAGGUAGAAAGUUUACAAUGUCGAGUUGGCUUAAAUCCACAACAUUUACAAUCUCUUCAUAUAAAAGUACAACCUCUUCCAGAUCAUAAAGAUCAAUGGACGCUUGAAGAAUUACAAAUCAUAGAAAAAUUUUUUGAUACAAGAGCAGCAAUACCACCAUAUAAACCAAACACACUCUCUGGUUUUGGUAGAAUGUUAAAUGUUCCAUUUAAUGUAUUGAAAGAUUUUGUACAAAUUAUGAAAUUAGAAUUAGUACCUGGAUUAGCACAACAACAACAACUUAAAUGGAAUGUACAAUGGUGUUUAAGGAUUCCUCCUUCUGGAACUCCAAUUGUACCUACUGGCAUGGCUGCUAUACUAGUUUGCAGAAAUAAAAUUCUUUUUUUUGUAUUUGCAAAUAACAAGAAUUGGAUUACCAUAUCAAGGAGAAACACCAUCACUUGUUUUACCCCUAGUUUAUGAUGUUAGUACAAAUCUAACACAAUUAGCAGAAAAAAGAGAUCCAAGUCCAGCUUCUGCAAUGGCAGCAGCAUCCUUACAAUUAAAAAGAUUUGCUGAAUAUGGUGCAAAUCAAUCUGAGUGUUCUCUCUUUCCUGCAGUUAGAGAUUUACUUGCUAAUUUGACUCUUCCUUCAGAUCCUCCAGUUAUGUCUCAGGUUCCACCAGCUGGUGGAACACCAACACAACAGAUUCAAAGUCCUGCAAUGCAAUUACAUUCUCCUAUGGCUGGAAAUCAAGGUCCUCCACAGGCACCAUAUGGAAUUCAAGGUAUGCCUCCAAUGGGCAUAAUGGGUGGACCACCUCAAUAGGACAUGCUUUACUCUCCUAACCCACUCAAUUUACCGAAUCAGUCGACUUGGAUCAACUGAAACGUAUUAUAAUAUCUAUUUUAAGAAUAUAUGGUGGGGAAUUGUAGGAGAGUUAUUUCAUCAAGAAAACUUGUUUUUUAAAAACUCAUACUGUAAUAUUAUUUGUAAAAAGAAACUAUAAUCAAAAAA
Molecule: unclassified non-coding RNA, 4868 nt
Filed under: Apis florea (little honeybee)
Lineage: Eukaryota; Metazoa; Arthropoda; Insecta; Hymenoptera; Apidae
Description: mediator of RNA polymerase II transcription subunit 14, transcript variant X4
Source: RNAcentral